GGGGAUAACUACUCCAAAGAGUAGCUAAUACCGCAUGAGAUCUACGGAUGAAAGCAGGGGACCUUCGGGCCUUGUGCUACUAGAGCGGCUGAUGGCAGAUUAGGUAGUUGGUGGGGUAAAGGCUUACCAAGCCUGCGAUCUGUAGCUGGUCUGAGAGGACGACCAGCCACACUGGGACUGAGACACGGCCCAGACUCCUACGGGAGGCAGCAGUGGGGAAUUUUGGACAAUGGGCGAAAGCCUGAUCCAGCAAUGCCGCGUGCAGGAUGAAGGCCCUCGGGUUGUAAACUGCUUUUGUACGGAACGAAAAGCCUGGGGCUAAUAUCCCCGGGUCAUGACGGUACCUUAAGAAUAAGCACCGGCUAACUACGUGCCAGCAGCCGCGGUAAUACGUAGGGUGCAAGCGUUAAUCGGAAUUACUGGGCGUAAAGCGUGCGCAGGCGGUUUUGUAAGACAGUGGUGAAAUCCCCGGGCUCAACCUGGGAACUGCCAUUGUGACUGCAAAGCUAGAGUGCGGGCAGAGGGGGGAUGGAAUUCCGCGUGUAGCAGUGAAAUGCGUAGAUAUGCGGAGGAACACCGAUGGCGAAGGCAAUCCCCUGGGCCUGCACUGACGCUCAUGCACGAAAGCGUGGGGAGCAACAGGAUUAGAUACCCUGGUAGUCUACGCCUAACGAUGUCAACUGGUUGUGGGGUCUUAACUGACUCAUAACAAAGCUAACGCGUGAAGUUGACCGCCUGGGAGUACGGCCGCAAGGUUGAAACUCAAAGAAUUGACGGGACCGCACAGCGCGGAUGAUGUGGUUUAUUCAUGCACGCUAAUAACCUUACCACCUUUGACAUGGCGGAACUAACCGAAUGGUUGGUGGCUCAAAAAAAACCUGCACACAGAGGCUGCAUGGCUUGUCGUCAGCUUCUGGU
RNAcentral lists this ribosomal RNA (918 nucleotides) under Comamonas sp. SS62. RNAcentral's name for it is "bacterial SSU rRNA". It matches the Rfam family "Bacterial small subunit ribosomal RNA", at positions 139 to 1066 of the family's 1533-position model. The record is from RNAcentral. Lineage: Bacteria; Pseudomonadati; Pseudomonadota; Betaproteobacteria; Burkholderiales; Comamonadaceae.